This 497-nucleotide ribosomal RNA is filed under the name uncultured bacterium. RNAcentral's name for it is "partial 16S ribosomal RNA". It matches the Rfam family "Bacterial small subunit ribosomal RNA", at positions 28 to 507 of the family's 1533-position model. The record is from RNAcentral.
GAUGAACGCUGGCGGCGUGCCUAAUACAUGCGAGUCGAGCGAACGGACGAGAAGCUUGCUUCUCUGAUGUUAGCGGCGGACGGGUGAGUAACACGUGGAUAACCUACCUAUAAGACUGGGAUAACUUCGGGAAACCGGAGCUAAUACCGGAUAAUAUUUUGAACCGCAUGGUUCAAAAGUGAAAGACGGCCUUGCUGUCACUUAUAGAUGGAUCCGCGCUGCAUUAGCUAGUUGGUAAGGUAACGGCUUACCAAGGCAACGAUGCAUAGCCGACCUGAGAGGGUGAUCGGCCACACUGGAACUGAGACACGGUCCAGACUCCUACGGGAGGCAGCAGUAGGGAAUCUUCCGCAAUGGGCGAAAGCCUGACGGAGCAACGCCGCGUGAGUGAUGAAGGUCUUCGGAUCGUAAAACUCUGUUAUUAGGGAAGAACAUAUGUGUAAGUAACUGUGCACAUCUUGACGGUACCUAAUCAGAAAGCCACGGCUAACUACGUG